AACGAACGCUGGCGGCAUGCCUAACACAUGCAAGUCGAACGAGACCUUCGGGUCUAGUGGCGCACGGGUGCGUAACGCGUGGGAACCUGCCCUUAGGUUCGGAAUAACUCCCCGAAAGGGGUGCUAAUACCGGAUAAUGUCUUCGGACCAAAGAUUUAUCGCCUUUGGAUGGGCCCGCGUUGGAUUAGCUAGUUGGUAGGGUAAAAGCGUACCAAGGCGACGAUCCAUAGCUGGUCUGAGAGGAUGAUCAGCCACACUGGGACUGAGACACGGCCCAGACUCCUGCGGGAGGCAGCAGUGGGGGAUAUUGGACAAUGGGCGAAGGCCUGAUCCAGCAAGGCCGCGUGAGUGAUGAAGGCCUUAGGGUAGUAAAGCUCUUUUACCCGGGAUGAUAAUGACAGUACCGGGAGAAUAAGCACCGGCUAACUCCGUG
This 433-nucleotide ribosomal RNA is filed under the name uncultured bacterium. Its description in RNAcentral is "partial 16S ribosomal RNA". It matches the Rfam family "Bacterial small subunit ribosomal RNA", at positions 29 to 507 of the family's 1533-position model. The record is from RNAcentral.